This 143-nucleotide unclassified non-coding RNA is filed under the name uncultured Hyaloscyphaceae. RNAcentral describes it as "sequence contains ITS2". Lineage: Eukaryota; Fungi; Ascomycota; Leotiomycetes; Helotiales. The record is from RNAcentral.
CAACCCUCAAGCAAUGCUUGGUGUUGGGCUCCGCUGGUAGCAGCGGGCCUUAAAAUCAGUGGCGGUGCCACCAGGCCCUGAGCGUAGUAAAUAUCCUCGCUACAGGGUCCGGUGGACGCUGGCCAUCAACCCCCACUCUCUAA